AUCCCGAAUUCAGGAGAUUUAGGGCUUUUUUUGUCAUAAAAAUUGAUAAUAGGAAGUGAAAUGCUAAUAUAUCUGGUUUCUUAAGAGAAUUAAAUUCUAUUGUAUCUAUAGGGAUAAGCUUUUAGUAUAAUUGAAAGUUUUGUUAUAAUUUAUUUAUUAAGAUGUAGGACGUAAUUUUUUUAGUAAUUUUGAUAGAAUUAGUAUAAGUUUUCCUAAAGGAAUUCGGCAAAGAUUUUCCACCUGUUUAAUAAAAACAUGUCCUUUUGAUUAUUAUUUAAGGUCUCGCCUGCCCACUGAGGCUGCGGUAUACUGACCGUGCUAAGGUAGCAUAAUCAUUAGUUUUUUAAUUGAGAGCUGGAAUGAAUGGUUGGAUGAGAAAAUAACUGUCUCUUUGAGAUAGAAUUUUAUUUUUAAGUAAAAAAGCUUAAAUUUUAUUAAAAGACGAGAAGACCCUAUAGAGUUUAAUUUUGAUUGGGGCGAUUGAAAAAUUAAUGAAACUUUUGAUUAGAAGAUAAAAUUACCUUAGGGAUAACAGCGUAAUUUUCUUUAGAGUUCAAAUCGAUAAGAAAGAUUGCGACCUCGAUGUUGGAUUAAAAUAAAUGUCGGUGUAGGAGCU
RNAcentral lists this ribosomal RNA (616 nucleotides) under Philus antennatus. RNAcentral describes it as "partial large subunit ribosomal RNA". It matches the Rfam family "Archaeal large subunit ribosomal RNA", at positions 1512 to 2632 of the family's 2987-position model. Lineage: Eukaryota; Metazoa; Arthropoda; Insecta; Coleoptera; Vesperidae. The record is from RNAcentral.